AAUGGGGGGAACCCUGAUCCAGCCAUGCCGCGUGUGUGAAGAAGGCCUUUUGGUUGUAAAGCACUUUAAGUGGGGAGGAGGCUUACCUGGUUAAUACCUGGGCUAAGUGGACGUUACCCACAGAAUAAGCACCGGCUAACUCUGUGCCAGCAGCCGCGGUAAUACAGAGGGUGCGAGCGUUAAUCGGAUUUACUGGGCGUAAAGCGCGCGUAGGUGGUUAAUUAAGUCAAAUGUGAAAUCCCCGAGCUUAACUUGGGAAUUGCAUUCGAUACUGGUUAGCUAGAGUAUGGGAGAGGAUGGUAGAAUUCCAGGUGUAGCGGUGAAAUGCGUAGAGAUCUGGAGGAAUACCGAUGGCGAAGGCAGCCAUCUGGCCUAAUACUGACACUGAGGUGCGAAAGCAUGGGGAGCAAACAGGAUUAGAUACCCUGGUAGUCCAUGCCGUAAACGAUGUCUACUAGCCGUUGGGGGAUUUGAUCCUUUAGUGGCGCAGCUAACGCGAUAAGUAGACCGCCUGGGGAGUAC
RNAcentral lists this ribosomal RNA (522 nucleotides) under uncultured bacterium. Its description in RNAcentral is "bacterial SSU rRNA". It matches the Rfam family "Bacterial small subunit ribosomal RNA", at positions 370 to 883 of the family's 1533-position model. The record is from RNAcentral.